GGGAAUAUUGGACAAUGGGGGGAACCCUGAUCCAGCGACGCCGCGUGAGUGAAGAAGUAUUUCGGUAUGUAAAGCUCUAUCAGCAGGGAAGAAAGAAAUGACGGUACCUGACUAAGAAGCCCCGGCUAACUACGUGCCAGCAGCCGCGGUAAUACGUAGGGGGCAAGCGUUAUCCGGAUUUACUGGGUGUAAAGGGAGCGUAGGUGGCAUGGUAAGCCAGAAGUGAAAACCCGGGGCUCAACCCCGCGGAUUGCUUUUGGAACUAUCAGGCUGGAGUGCUGGAGGGGUAAGCGGAAUUCCUAGUGUAGCGGUGAAAUGCGUAGAUAUUAGGAGGAACACCGGUGGCGAAGGCGGCUUACUGGACAGAAACUGACACUGAGGCUCGAAAGCGUGGGGAGCAAACAGG
This 406-nucleotide ribosomal RNA is filed under the name uncultured bacterium. RNAcentral describes it as "bacterial SSU rRNA". It matches the Rfam family "Bacterial small subunit ribosomal RNA", at positions 357 to 776 of the family's 1533-position model. The record is from RNAcentral.